RNAcentral lists this RNase P RNA (357 nucleotides) under pig gut metagenome. Its description in RNAcentral is "Bacterial RNase P class A". It matches the Rfam family "Bacterial RNase P class A". Rfam says of the family: Ribonuclease P (RNase P) is a ubiquitous endoribonuclease, found in archaea, bacteria and eukarya as well as chloroplasts and mitochondria. Its best characterised activity is the generation of mature 5'-ends of tRNAs by cleaving the 5'-leader elements of precursor-tRNAs. The record is from RNAcentral.
UAGAUGAUCGCUUGCUUGCGAGCAAGAGGAAAGUCCGGGCAGCACAGGAUACGACAGUCGCUAACGGCGACCGGGGGUGACCCUAGGGAAAGUGCCACAGAAACGAUACCGCUCCGCAGAAUACCAUUGUUUGGCUCGUGUGUUAUAUACGGCUAGCAGCGGGGUAAGGGUGAAAGGAGUGAGGUAAGAGCUCACAGCACUGUAUGGUGACAUACGGUGGAGGUAAACCCUGUUGGCUGCAAGGAGGUAGUUCUGGUAUGUGAUCCGCAUGAGCUACCGCUAACCGCUUGAUUUGCAAAGCAAUUUGCAAACUAGAUAGAUGAUCAUCCACGACAGAACCCGGCUUAUCGAUAGGCU